RNAcentral lists this long non-coding RNA (1191 nucleotides) under Homo sapiens (human). Its description in RNAcentral is "HSALNT0191264". Lineage: Eukaryota; Metazoa; Chordata; Mammalia; Primates; Hominidae. The record is from RNAcentral.
GUCAGUAUGUCUACCUACAUCAGUGUGUAAGAGAUGUCCUCAGAGCAAGAAAGCUACGGAGUGAACAAGAAAACCCCUUGUUUCCAAUCUAUGAAAAUGUGAAUCCAGAGUAUCACAGAGAUCCAGUCUAUUCAAGGCAUUGAGAAUGUACCUGAAGAGCUCCUGGAUAAAAAUUAUUCACUGUGUGAUUUGUUUUUAAAAACUUGCUUCAUGCCCUACAGAGGUGCCAGCUAUUUCUGUUGAUACUAUGUAUAAUUUAUUAAUCUGGAGAAUGUUUAAAAUUUUAUAUAAUUUAAAGGUAACAGAUAUUAUUGUACAUAGUUGUAUUUUGUAGUUUCUUCUGUAAAUAUGUAUUUUUCAUAAUGUUUAAUAUUAAGCUUUAUAUAAUACUAUUUUUCCACACUAAAGUGUUCAUGACUUGUUCUACAUAAAACUAAUUCAACCUGUAUGACAGGACUACUGGUAAAAUGCAUAUGGAGGUGGUGGCAGAGACAAUCCUUCAGGCCAUGUUUUCUACCUGUUUUGAUAUUCACUGGACAGGAAAAAGGGCAGGGCUAGAGAGAGCAAAUACUAUGGCUAGAUUUGCUGCAUUGCUGUCCCAUGAAUCUCGAGAGCCAACAGACAUGUCCUAACUUGCUAUUAGGACAAAUGUGACAGUCAAAAAAAGGAUUAGAGGGAGGGAGAAAAAAGAAUUAAGCAGUACCAAAGCUGAACUAGAUGCUUGUGUCUGAACUAGUUGCUCUCUCUCUCCUUUCUCCUUCCAGGGAUUCAAGCCAAAGUGGUCAGCUCAGGGAUCAUGUAACUUGCAGUGCAAGCCCAGGAUGGUAGGAUGCAGGGUUGAGGGUUCUGAUAGAGAAUGAUUCCAAACAGAAGUGAUGAAUUCCUUUUGUUAAUAAGAUGCCAGCUAUACCCAGACUGGAAACAUAACAUGCAAAGCACUAUCUACAGUGAUUAGAGAUCCUUUCAUUGCAUUCAUGGUGUGGAGUGUGAACAUCCACACCCAUACUGUAAUGUAUUUAUACACACUAGUUUCUGUCUCAUUUUCAGUGGUCUCCAUUCCUAGAAAAGUCACAAUUAUCCAUUCCUACUUGAUUUCCCAUUAAAAGAAUAUUAUGGUAGCAGAUUGUGCCCCUCAUUAAAAGGCUUAAUGCCAACAUUUUCAUAGAAAUGACUACAAACAUCAUAUAUAGU